Molecule: ribosomal RNA, 423 nt
Filed under: uncultured bacterium
Lineage: Bacteria
Description: bacterial SSU rRNA
Rfam family: Bacterial small subunit ribosomal RNA
Source: RNAcentral
GGAAUUGUUCGCAAUGGGCGCAAGCCUGACGACGCAACGCCGCGUGGAGGAUGAAGGUCUUCGGAUUGUAAACUCCUGUUGACCGGGACGAAUGGCCCUGGACCUAAUACGUCCGGGGAGUGACGGUACCGGUUGAGGAAGCCACGGCUAACUCUGUGCCAGCAGCCGCGGUAAUACAGAGGUGGCAAGCGUUGUUCGGAAUUACUGGGCGUAAAGGGCGCGUAGGCGGCCGCCUAUGUCAGACGUGAAAUCCCCCGGCUCAACCUGGGAACUGCGUCUGAUACUGGGUGGCUUGAAUGCGGGAGAGGGAUGUGGAAUUCCAGGUGUAGCGGUGAAAUGCGUAGAUAUCUGGAGGAACACCGGUGGCGAAGGCGGCAUCCUGGACCGACAUUGACGCUGAGGCGCGAAAGCUAGGGGAGCAAA